GAUGAACGCUGGCGGCGUGCCUAAUACAUGCAAGUCGAGCGAACAGAUAAGGAGCUUGCUCCUUUGACGUUAGCGGCGGACGGGUGAGUAACACGUGGGUAACCUACCUAUAAGACUGGGAUAACUUCGGGAAACCGGAGCUAAUACCGGAUAACAUUUGGAACCGCAUGGUUCUAAAGUGAAAGAUGGUUUUGCUAUCACUUAUAGAUGGACCCGCGCCGUAUUAGCUAGUUGGUAAGGUAACGGCUUACCAAGGCGACGAUACGUAGCCGACCUGAGAGGGUGAUCGGCCACACUGGAACUGAGACACGGUCCAGACUCCUACGGGAGGCAGCAGUAGGGAAUCUUCCGCAAUGGGCGAAAGCCUGACGGAGCAACGCCGCGUGAGUGAUGAAGGGUUUCGGCUCGUAAAACUCUGUUAUUAGGGAAGAACAAACGUGUAAGUAACUGUGCACGUCUUGACGGUACCUAAUCAGAAAGCCACGGCUAACUACGUGCCAGCAGCCGCGGUAAUACGUAGGUGGCAAGCGUUAUCCGGAAUUAUUGGGCGUAAAGCGCGCGUAGGCGGUUUCUUAAGUCUGAUGUGAAAGCCCACGGCUCAACCGUGGAGGGUCAUUGGAAACUGGGAAACUUGAGUGCAGAAGAGGAAAGUGGAAUUCCAUGUGUAGCGGUGAAAUGCGCAGAGAUAUGGAGGAACACCAGUGGCGAAGGCGACUUUCUGGUCUGUAACUGACGCUGAUGUGCGAAAGUGUGGGGAUCAAACAGGAUUAGAUACCCUGGUAGUCCACGCCGUAAACGAUGAGUGCUAAGUGUUAGGGGGUUUCCGCCCCUUAGUGCUGCAGCUAACGCAUUAAGCACUCCGCCUGGGGAGUACGACCGCAAGGUUGAAACUCAAAGGAAUUGACGGGGACCCGCACAAGCGGUGGAGCAUGUGGUUUAAUUCGAAGCAACGCGAAGAACCUUACCAAAUCUUGACAUCCUUUGAAAACUCUAGAGAUAGAGCCUUCCCCUUCGGGGGACAAAGUGACAGGUGGUGCAUGGUUGUCGUCAGCUCGUGUCGUGAGAUGUUGGGUUAAGUCCCGCAACGAGCGCAACCCUUAAGCUUAGUUGCCAUCAUUAAGUUGGGCACUCUAGGUUGACUGCCGGUGACAAACCGGAGGAAGGUGGGGAUGACGUCAAAUCAUCAUGCCCCUUAUGAUUUGGGCUACACACGUGCUACAAUGGACAAUACAAAGGGCAGCUAAACCGCGAGGUCAUGCAAAUCCCAUAAAGUUGUUCUCAGUUCGGAUUGUAGUCUACAACUCGACUACAUGAAGCUGGAAUCGCUAGUAAUCGUAGAUCAGCAUGCUACGGUGAAUACGUUCCCGGGUCU
RNAcentral lists this ribosomal RNA (1372 nucleotides) under uncultured bacterium. RNAcentral's name for it is "bacterial SSU rRNA". It matches the Rfam family "Bacterial small subunit ribosomal RNA", at positions 28 to 1381 of the family's 1533-position model. The record is from RNAcentral.